UGCGAGUUCGCGGGAGAGUAAGUUAUUGCCAGGGUUUUUAUUUUAUACUUUAAACAUUGAUUUUAUUUUUUAUGUUUUUAGAUGUUCAUGUUUUUCAAUGUUUUAUUCAAAUAAUAUAAAAAAUAAAAUAUAUAUUGACAUGGAUUAAACAAAGAUAUAUAUUAUUCUAUGUUGUAUAAACAAAUUGGCAAAAUAGAGAUGGAAGAUAAAAAUAUGGUCAAAGUAAUAAGAGUCUAUGGUGAAUGCCUAGGAGC
RNAcentral lists this unclassified non-coding RNA (254 nucleotides) under Borreliella garinii. RNAcentral describes it as "partial 5S-23S ribosomal RNA intergenic spacer". The record is from RNAcentral. Lineage: Bacteria; Pseudomonadati; Spirochaetota; Spirochaetia; Spirochaetales; Borreliaceae.